This 619-nucleotide unclassified non-coding RNA is filed under the name Hevea brasiliensis (rubber tree). Lineage: Eukaryota; Viridiplantae; Streptophyta; Magnoliopsida; Malpighiales; Euphorbiaceae. The record is from RNAcentral.
AGAUCAGAACACACAAAUAGUUGUAUCUGAAUUUAGAGAAAUUAUUCAUGAUCAAUGACCCAUUUUGACCUGGCAUCAUCUACUAUAAUCAGCUGUUAUAAUUAUACAAUGGAUGUCAUUUUUCCUCUCCCUGAAUUUAUGAUCUGGACGAUAAAUUUCUUAAUUCUAGAAUACCAAAACCAUGCAGACACGCAAUUAACCAGAGAUAAUAAAAAACCUAAAACAAACAGAGAACCCAUCAACCAUCCAAUUAGUUCUUUAUUAAACCAACCACAUAUCGAGAACACUUAAAUCAACAAAUAGUCAAGGAAGGGAAGAAGGAAAGAAAGGCUUACAACUGGGAGUGGUGAGCUUCAAAGUACAGAAGCAGAUAUCAUAGAGAGCCUCAUUGUCGAGAACCAUACACUCAUCUGCAUUCUCUACAAGCUGAUGAACAGAGAGAGUCGCAUUGUAGGGCUCAACAACAGUGUCAGAUACCUUCGGAGAUGGGAAAACAGAGAAUGUAAGCAUCAUGCGAUCAGGAUAUUCUUCCCUUAUCUUCGAGAUCAAUAGCGUGCCCAUUCCAGAGCCAGUAGCACCUCCCAAGGAGUGGCAUACCUGAAACCCUUGCAAGCAGUCA